UAGCAAACGGGCUCCGUUGCCAUCCAUUUGUUUUCGGUGAUGGAGCUUCCGAAUCGACGAUCGACACUGUUGAACAUGAUUUAUAUCAUUUGAAGCAUCUAGAAAUCAAAUUUCGUACUUUUUCGAUAUUGUUCUCUUGUCCAACAAGUGGAUGCAAAAAUGAAUGGCUGAAAAUAAAUAUCCUCUAAAAAGUGAUGAUAGGAGACUUGCAAUCAAGAUCGAGAGUAUAGAUUUUGUUCUAAAUAGUUUAAAGAAUUUUCUUACCAAAAUUCAAUUGAUUUGGAUAUCUUUAUACCGUUAAACGAGAAAACGUCUCACAUCGAUUAUUAAAAUUACAAAUUUUGAAACCCUUUGAUCAUUAGGUCAAUGAUGUCGAAAUGAUUUGAAAUUUGGUUUCUAGAUACUUCAAGUGGUAUAGAUCAUGUUCAACGAUAUCGAUCGUCGAUUUGGAGGCUCCAUUAUCGAAAACAAAUGAGUGGCAACGGAGUCCGUUUGCUACCGAUGGCAUUUCAGCUCAACUCUCUCUCUCUCUAUAUAUAUGUAUGUAUGUAUGUAUGUAUGUAUCUACAAACACACAAAUACGUAUAUGUACAUGCACAUGUGUACAUACAUAUACACAUAUAUACGUAUACGUAAACGUACAUAUACGUGUAUUUGUACAUAAACAUAUACAUAUAUGUACAUGUAUAUAACAAUCCGGCUUGCUAGCAAUAAUAAUUCGUCAAAUCACUAGCUUAAAAUGUUUAAGCCUAGUUAUUAUUAUUAGUGUCUAUGGUUUCUUAUAUAUCCAACCACAACACGGUUCCCAUUUGAUGUGGGACUAUUGGAGUGUUACAGACUCCCCUCGUUUAGGCCUUGACGUCCUCGUCAGUCUAACACACAGUCCAAAAUCAUCUGGCAAUAUGAGGCCCACACAGUUCAAGAUCAUCAGGCAAUGUGAGCCCCCCCUCACACUUUCGGCCGGUGAACUAGCUUCGAUACCAAAUAUAAAAUUCGGCUCGGUAGCAAUAAUAACUCAUUGGGACCAAACUAUUAGCCCAAAAUACUUUUGCCCAGUUAUUAUUAUUAGAGUCUGUGGUUUCUUAUAUACCCGACCACAAUCCCGCUCCCAUUUGAUGUGGGGACUAUUGGGGUGUCACCAUGUAUUAUAUAUGUAUAUGUAUGUAUAAUAUAUACGUAUAUAUAUAGAAUCAGGCUAGAAUACUAACACGAUAGCAUCAAGGCCUCCGUGCUAUCGAGUUGUUUUUGAUGAUGGGACAUCCGAUUCGACGACCGGCUCCGUUAGGCUUGAUCUACACUAUUGAAAGUAUCUAGAAACUAAUUUCAUGAUUUUUUGACAUCAUUUACCCUUAGAACGAGUAGUCUCAAAAUGAACAGUCGAAAAUAAAAAUCUUAUACAGACAAUAAUAGAAAACCUAAAUUUCAGAUUAGAAGUACUGAUCUUGUUUUAAAUAGUGAAACAAAUUUUCUAUCAAAGUUUCACUGGAUUUGGAUUGUUCUACACUGUUAAACUUACAAAUGCAUUACAUUGGCUAUUAAAAUUGUUAAUUUUGAGACCGUUUGAUAACUAAUUAAAGGAUAUCAAAAAAAUAUGAAAAUUUAUUUCAUUUUUCAGGUGCUCUAUGUUAAUCGAGGGAAAUAGUUUUUGGAGUAAAAGUUUUCAGUGGAAAAGGAGUGCUGUGGUUGGGGAAAGAAAUGAAAAAUAUUUUGUUGUUUUUCUUUCAUUAUAUAUUAGAUAAAUAAAUCUAACACAGACUAUAUAUUGUAGAUCCAUGUGGUCCAUGACUUUUCCUCACGAAGUAGUGUACAGACUUCGCUGGACUCGUGCUAAAUUUUUGAUUGGGAUGGAUUCCGCUCUUCUUUAGUAAAAAAUGGAUAGGGCACUUCAACGGGAAAGUAAAAAACUUUCUUAUGCAUUCAAAUUACUUUACAUUACAUUGAAUCAAGAAAGCAUAAAACUAUUUUUUGGUCCAGAAACUCUUUACCACCCUGUUUUAUCACUUUAUGUGUAACCAAAGACACAAAAUUUCACUAACAUAUUCUUACCUUUUGAACCCUUUGAAUGGGUUCAGCACAAACAGAACUUCAAUGUGUGCUCAAAAUGCAAUAUGGAUUAAUCAUUUAAGUUGAUUUACUUGGAUAAGCAUGGCUUGCAUGGCGUUUUCAUUUGAGGAUUUCUCCUAGUGUGUGCUCUCUGCUGCUAGUUGUUAUCACUAUAUAUUAUGACAAAGUGGGAUUGUUUGCCACCGCAUGGCAUCAAGGUGGGUCUAGAAACGUGUUGGGCAAAGCUUGGGCUGGGUGCCUACAGUAACGUGCCAUCGCGAAAAUGUCUAAUCCUCCUAAGUCACGCUGGCAUGCCAGUGGUGUGAUACAUUUUGUAGGCUCGUAGAAUCCUACUUCUAAAAGGGCUACCUUUGUACCACAGUCUCCCUAGACGUUUUUUUAUUAGUAAGUUUGCAUACUAUCGUACAUAAUUUCCAUAAAAUCAACAACAUUGAGAGACUAUUAAGUGUAUUAUCUUCUGAGGAUGCAAAUUGCACAUGAGGGGCAUCAUCCUUGGCCAAGAUGUUUACUUGAUAUUCUUCUUUCAUAAUGUAACGUAAAAGAAACUAAUAAGAAAAUUCCAGGCGAUUUCAUUCUUCUGCCACAUUUCCAUUUCUCCCCUCCAUGCUUCUUUUACUACUCACAGACUCACAGUAUCCUGGUGAGCCAUACCAAUAUGUUUGCUUGUUGGGAGACGUGAUGCUAGUGAUGGAUACCUAGUGUCACGCCCCGAGACCGCUACCAAUUUGGUCCGGUUCGAGCGCGUCGAACAGACGCCGGACGGACAGCACCUCCCCUGUCCGCCCAAGGCUCAAAGGUAAGAUCAUGUACAUAGAAUUGCCCAGGAAUAAUUCAAUACAUACGCGAUCCAACAAGGAGAGAAGCACAAAGAGUGCAAUACAACAAGAGCAAGUAACACAAGUGUACAUACAAGUGCAUAAAGAGAGAUACAUCUAGCUAUUACUUUACAUUCUAUUUUUACAUCUUUGAUAUAUUACAUUUUCAUCUUCNGCUCGAAUUAAUUUCAAGCCAAGCUUGAGCCUAAAUUUAGGCUCGAAAUUAAUUUCAAGCCAAGCUUGAGCUGAGAUAAGCUCGCUCGAGCUCGGCUCGUUUCCACCCCUAUGGAUACCUUCCUAAGCUAGGCAAAGCUUCCAACCACUAUGCUGGGGUUCUAAUGAGCUGUUGGAUAUGCUGUAUACUGCUGCUUGGUUAACCAAAAUCAAUGCUUGAUGAUAAUGUCGUACUCGCAUACAUAUGAAUGUGCUUAGAUAUGCACACCUUGUCAUUCAUUGAAUGUGCAUUGAAACCCAACAUCCCUUUAAUGAGCAGAAAUCAUGCCGCUUAUUGUGCUGCUACACUCCAUGAAGCUGUUGCUAUAAUUCCCAUCUUGCAAGUGAAAUGGUCGGAGCACCGACCACCCCUACUUCCUAAAGCGUGCAUGCACAUUCUGAACAUACAUGCACAUAUUUAUGUAUAAAAGUUUUUUUAUGUAUGUUUAUUAUUAAUGUAAGCAUUCUGUAAGGCCGCUAUAUUCCCUCUAAAUUAAUUUGACUGCAACAAAUCUGGUUGUUUUGUACUUGACAAUCUUUCAAUUACCUUUCUGCUGAUUGGUUACUCUUGUCUCAGUGUGUUCUUAGAAACUGAAAUAUGAUGUGC
RNAcentral lists this long non-coding RNA (3699 nucleotides) under Ananas comosus (pineapple). RNAcentral's name for it is "long non-coding RNA (ACOM_LNC023325)". The record is from RNAcentral. Lineage: Eukaryota; Viridiplantae; Streptophyta; Magnoliopsida; Poales; Bromeliaceae.